GCUUUGGCUCUCUUCCAAUCUAACCUCUUUUUUUUUUUGUCCUUCCCCUCCCCCAUGGGUUUCUGUUAAGUUUCUCAGGAUCCACAUAAGAGUGAAACCAUAUGGUAUCUGUCUUUCUCUGUAUGGCUUAUUUCACUUAGCAUCACACUCUCCAGUUCCAUCCAUGUUGCUACAAAGGGCCCUAUUUCAUUCUUUCUCAUUGCCAUGUGGUACUCCAUUGUGUAUAUAAACCACAAUUUCUUUAUCCAUUCAUCAGUUGAUGGACAUUUAGGCUCUUUCCAUAAUUUUGGCUAUUGUUGAGAGUGCUGCUAUAAACAUUGGGGUACAAGUGCCCCUAUGCAUCAGUACUCCUGUAUCCCUUGGGUAAAUUCCCAGCAGUGCUAUUGCUGGGUCAUAGGGUAGGUCUAUUUUUAAUUUUUUGAGGAACCUCCACACUGACAAACCCUCAGUUUAAUGAAUACAUUUCCACUACCGUGGAGACAUUAUUAGAUUCUAGGUCUGUGAUGGCUGUGACCACAUCUGUCUUAUUUACCAGUGUAUUCCUUUUCCACAUUUCAAACCUAGGAAAAGCACAGAUGAGAGAUAUUUGUUGGCCUGAAGCCAUCCUUACCCACUGAGACCAGCAUCACAUCUCUGUAGAGGUUCUUCUGCACAGAAUCCAGCAAAGACCACUCCUCCAAGGUGAAGUCCACAGCCACAUCCUCAAAGACCACUGAGUCCUGACAUAUUCAAGUGUGUGGAGGAAGAAGGGAUUAGUGGACACUGGAGCUGACCUAACCAUCAUAUCUGAAAAGUUAUGGCCUUCAUCUUGGCCCGUCGACAACGUACCUAGAUACCUGGCUUCCAGCCUGGCGAUCAAAACCACGAUAUGAACAGUUGGACGAAGAGAAAAAGAUUCGACAGUUUUUGACCACUGGAGGAAGAUAUGGAAGAAUUAAGCCUGGAACCCAAGAUUAUAAGGAAGGUAGAAAUAAGAACCAAAAAUACAAUGAGAGCAAAACCUCCAACAUGGGGACAAGUGAAGAUGACUCAAGAAGCCUAACAGAUCCUCCCAAAAAUGGGAACACUUAAGACUUCUACUCUGUUUAUUGCCAUGAUGUCGGUUGUUACUUUAACUGGGAGUGCUAAAGAGAAUCACACAUAUUGGGCUUAUAUUCCAAAUCCACCUCUUAAUAGAUUAAUUGCAUAGGAUGAUCCCUCUUUCCAGGCUUACGUAAAUUAUUCAGUCUGGUUGCCUGGACCUUAUGAUAAUAGAGGUCCAUUUAAACCAGAAGAAGAAGGAAAAGUAAUCCCUGAAUAUUCUGUAGGUGCAGAGGGGCCACCUAUAUGCUUUGGAACAGGUGACCACUGUGUUUCAUUUAUAGGCAUGGAUAGCAGAAAUACCCAAUGGGACUAAUGUCCCCAUACUGUAUUUACUACAAGGGGUCUGCAUGAGAAGUCAAAAAACUACAUACAAUUACCCUCCUAAAUUGCCUCGAUGUCAAGAAAAACCAUAAAUCCUGAGGAACGGAUUAAUUGGGAGCUCUGUAGAGGAGAAGUUGGUAGAGUUCUUCUUAAUACUUCCAAAGGAAACGUCGUCAUUGAUUGGGCCCCUAUAGGCUCUGCUCAGACCAAAUACUCCAAAAAAAGAGCUCUGAUGGUGUCGAUAUCAUGACGACAUCCUUUCAGAUAUAACAUCUGAACCCACUGUAUGGCAUGAAGGAGGGAUGACUCCCCCCCAGCCCACGUUUACCUGAUGGGCCAGUUCAUUCCGAGCUUUGGAAAAUUGGUACUGGAUCAUUACGCAUGUCCUCUUGGAAAGGCUGCUUAAUGUCUCAAGUAAAUUCUCCCUCUCUUUUAGAUUAAAUGAGACUCAUAAAAUUCAAGCGUGUGUCAGACUUCCUUUUCUGUUUAUGUUAGGUAUGCCCCAUUGGGACCCUGAAAACAAUCUUCUUACUUUCCAUGAUUGCUCUUUUUAUACUUGUCUUAAUUCUAUCCCUUUAAACAGGAGAGACAAAGCUUAUAUAUCCUUAAGGCAUGAGAUCGGGUUUGGAUGCCUGUAAUUAUGGAUUGGUCUUGGCAACACUCCCCUGAAAUGUUUCUCAUAGAUGAAAUAUUGAAACGUGUAUUACAUCGCACCUGACGAUUUGUAGCUUUACUGGUAACCGCUGUACUUGGGAUGAUAGCUAUUGCAGCUACAGCUGGUUUUGCGCUGCACCAGACUGUACAAACUACCCACUUUGUACAACACUGGCAUCAAAAUUCAGAAAGACUAUGGAACAGCCAAUGGUUGAUUGAUAGCCAACUAGAGAGCCAAUUAUCUGACUUGCAACAAGCCGUUCUUUUUCUAGGAGAUCAACUGAUUAGUUUACAACAACAGGUAAAGCUUCAAUGUGAUUGGAACAUAACCACCUUUUGUGUCACUCUCCAUGUAUAUAAUCAGUCCAAGAUAUCAUGGGACCUUGUGCAUCGACACCUUCUUAAGGUAAUACCUCCACUGAUAUAGCCCAAUUGCAAAAGGACAUUUAUGAUACAUUCAAAAAUAAACUUGAGAGGCUUUCUGGUGCUCCAUCUAGCUGAGAUGACUAAUUGAAUCUCAGAAUUGAAUCCAAUGAAUUAUACAAAACCUUUAAGCUUUUCUGCGAUUGGUAUUCUUAUAUUAAUCUUUGUCUUAUUUGGAUAUACCUAGUCUGGAGAAGAGGCCAAUGACGAAGCCAAGAAUAUGCCUCACAAGCCUCUGUCUUUGUAGUUCAUCUUUGCCAAAUGAAAGAAAAAGGGGAAGAUGUGGGAGAUGUAGGAGAAAAACAUCAAAGGAAAAGACUUCAAAAGGGAAAGGCUGGAGCAGGUGCAAGGCCUUAGGACAUGUUUUCACAGCUGAACGUGCCUGCUGCUCUUAAGGAAUGCCUUGAGGCAUUAGCAUUGUCCAGGGCCGGAUCCUCCUGCACGCCUGACCCUUCCUGGCUUCAUAAAGAACAAUUAUCUAGAAAUUCAACCUUGAAAAACAAAACUAUUAAGUUGAUUAAUACACUUGCUGAGCUGACUUUAUGCACGUAGCCUUUAGCAGUUUCCCUAGUAAAAGGGGGCUUCAUUCUGGAGUCGGGCCUCAUUCCGACUCGAGUAUGAGGACCUUCACUUAACUGCAUUUUGCUUGCAGACUCUUCUUUUGCGACUCCGGCCAUACUCCCUGCAAC
Molecule: long non-coding RNA, 3170 nt
Organism: Panthera uncia (snow leopard)
Lineage: Eukaryota; Metazoa; Chordata; Mammalia; Carnivora; Felidae
Exons: 3
Source: RefSeq, a predicted model, not a curated record